UACGAAGGGGGCUAGCGUUGCUCGGAAUUACUGGGCGUAAAGCGCACGUAGGCGGUCUUUUAAGUCGGGGGUGAAAUCCUGGAGCUCAACUCCAGAACUGCCUUCGAUACUGGAAGACUUGAGUCCGGGAGAGGUGAGUGGAACUGCGAGUGUAGAGGUGAAAUUCGUAGAUAUUCGCAGGAACACCAGUGGCGAAGGCGGCUCACUGGCCCGGUACUGACGCUGAGGUGCGAAAGCGUGGGGAGCAAACAGG
This 253-nucleotide ribosomal RNA is filed under the name uncultured bacterium. RNAcentral's name for it is "partial 16S ribosomal RNA". It matches the Rfam family "Bacterial small subunit ribosomal RNA", at positions 524 to 776 of the family's 1533-position model. The record is from RNAcentral.